UACGAAGGGGGCUAGCGUUGCUCGGAAUUACUGGGCGUAAAGGGAGCGUAGGCGGACAUUUAAGUCAGGGGUGAAAUCCCGGGGCUCAACCUCGGAAUUGCCUUUGAUACUGGGUGUCUUGAGUAUGAGAGAGGUGUGUGGAACUCCGAGUGUAGAGGUGAAAUUCGUAGAUAUUCGGAAGAACACCAGUGGCGAAGGCGACACACUGGCUCAUUACUGACGCUGAGGCUCGAAAGCGUGGGGAGCAAAC
RNAcentral lists this ribosomal RNA (250 nucleotides) under uncultured bacterium. Its description in RNAcentral is "partial 16S ribosomal RNA". It matches the Rfam family "Bacterial small subunit ribosomal RNA", at positions 524 to 773 of the family's 1533-position model. The record is from RNAcentral. RNAcentral also lists the same sequence under 2 other names.